UGCCGCUGAUGAGUGUGCCAUGCUAAUACCGACCGGCGUUGGCCGGGUUGAGUUGAACCUUAUCUCAGGACGUUCUGAGGCAC
Molecule: small nucleolar RNA, 83 nt
Organism: Meleagris gallopavo (turkey)
Lineage: Eukaryota; Metazoa; Chordata; Aves; Galliformes; Phasianidae
Source: Ensembl